AGGGUGCGAGCGUUAAUCGGAAUUACUGGGCGUAAAGCGAGUGUAGGUGGCUCAUUAAGUCACAUGUGAAAUCCCCGGGCUUAACCUGGGAACUGCAUGUGAUACUGGUGGUGCUAGAAUAUGUGAGAGGGAAGUAGAAUUCCAGGUGUAGCGGUGAAAUGCGUAGAGAUCUGGAGGAAUACCGAUGGCGAAGGCAGCUUCCUGGCAUAAUAUUGACACUGAGAUUCGAAAGCGUGGGUAGCAAACAGGAUUAGAUACCCUGGUAGUCAAGGGCG
Molecule: ribosomal RNA, 275 nt
Filed under: uncultured Pseudomonadales bacterium
Lineage: Bacteria; Pseudomonadati; Pseudomonadota; Gammaproteobacteria; Pseudomonadales
Description: partial 16S ribosomal RNA
Rfam family: Bacterial small subunit ribosomal RNA
Source: RNAcentral